GCCCGCCUAGCUCAAUCGGAUAGAGCGUCAGACUCUUACGUAAGCAAGGCAUCUGAAGGCUGCGAGUUCGACCCUCGCGGUGGGCU
This 86-nucleotide transfer RNA is filed under the name Coprinopsis cinerea okayama7#130. It matches the Rfam family "tRNA". From Rfam's summary of the family: Transfer RNA (tRNA) molecules are approximately 80 nucleotides in length. Their secondary structure includes four short double-helical elements and three loops (D, anti-codon, and T loops). Further hydrogen bonds mediate the characteristic L-shaped molecular structure. tRNAs have two regions of fundamental functional importance: the anti-codon, which is responsible for specific mRNA codon recognition, and the 3' end, to which the tRNAs corresponding amino acid is attached (by aminoacyl-tRNA synthetases). tRNAs cope with the degeneracy of the genetic code in two manners: having more than one tRNA (with a specific anti-codon) for a particular amino acid; and 'wobble' base-pairing, i.e. permitting non-standard base-pairing at the 3rd anti-codon position. Lineage: Eukaryota; Fungi; Basidiomycota; Agaricomycetes; Agaricales; Psathyrellaceae. The record is from Rfam by way of RNAcentral.